Molecule: long non-coding RNA, 970 nt
Filed under: Gallus gallus (chicken)
Lineage: Eukaryota; Metazoa; Chordata; Aves; Galliformes; Phasianidae
Description: lncRNA (ENSGALG00010008791.1)
Source: RNAcentral
CAGGGAAUGUCAUCUGAGCAAACAAAAAACAACACAGGAGGUUAAGAAAAAAGAAGCCCGCUCAGCCUCCUUGCCAAGAAACCCAAUGAUGAUCGCAGAAGUUAACGAUCGCGCCCCGAAGCUCUGCUUUCCUGGAGGAGGGGAACCCCGCGCUCGGCAGGCCCGGCUUUGGGUUUAUGCUUCUUCCCCCCCCCCCCCCCCCCCCCCCCCGAGCGGAGCGGUCCUCAGUGAAGGCAGAGAGUUAAGUAAGAAAGCAAACCGCGGCAGAGUGCUCUCAGGCAGCGUUACUCCUCGCUUAGCAUCAGCACUAACGAGUCGUCCUCUCCCCUCGCCCGUCCGCAAAGCGAUCCAUCAUUUAUUUCCAGAUCACCUGGUGAUCUGUAACACAGAAAGAAAAAAAAAAAAAAGAGAGAGAGAGAUUAAGGAAGGAGCCGCCGACACCGCUCCAUGCGCAAUACCUAUCGGCUGAUGUAGAAAAGAAAGCAUAAUCCACAUGUAUAUUGCCUUUAACGAAAGGUAUUUCCUUCGCCUUCCCUCCCUACAGUACCGGCAUGCUUUUGCUGAGGGCUGCGUUUGCACAGUCGCCAGUAAUUACACGCGUGUGUCCGCCGGGAGAACGAAGGUUGGGAAGGUGGGAGGUAGGACGUGAUUCCUCUUUGGAGCAAUCAGGACUGGGAAAGGUUUCAUUCCGUGCAGACGUUGCCUUUGCUAGAUGGUGUCUCCCUUCGUGAGGAAUGGUGCUAAAAGUGGAUGGAAUCUGUUAAAGACACUGCUCUGCAUGUGGAAUUAUGGCAGAACUGACACUGACUAGAUCCUCCACAUUGGAGUUCAGUGAACCAAAGUGAGCUGCACUAUUUCCGUGCUUGACCUGCAGUGAGGAAUAUCACAUACAUACUUCUUGAUAUUUUAAUGCCAGAAAAAAAUGGAUAGAGAUUUUACUGAGGACUAUCUACAGAAAUGUAGAUUUGGU